UGGGGAAUAUUGCGCAAUGGGGGGAACCCUGACGCAGCCAUGCCGCGUGAAUGAAGAAGGCCUUCGGGUUGUAAAGUUCUUUCGGUAUUGAGGAAGGUUGAUGUGUUAAUAGCACAUCAAAUUGACGUUAAAUACAGAAGAAGCACCGGCUAACUCCGUGCCAGCAGCCGCGGUAAUACGGAGGGUGCGAGCGUUAAUCGGAAUAACUGGGCGUAAAGGGCACGCAGGCGGUUAUUUAAGUGAGGUGUGAAAGCCCCGGGCUUAACCUGGGAAUUGCAUUUCAGACUGGGUAACUAGAGUACUUUAGGGAGGGGUAGAAUUCCACGUGUAGCGGUGAAAUGCGUAGAGAUGUGGAGGAAUACCGAAGGCGAAGGCAGCCCCUUGGGAAUGUACUGACGCUCAUGUGCGAAAGCGUGGGGAGCAAACAGGAUUAGAUACCCUGGUAGUCCACGCUGUAAACGCUGUCGAUUUGGGGGUUGGGGUUUAACUCUGGCGCCCGUAGCUAACGUGAUAAAUCGACCGCCUGGGGAGAACGGCCGCAAGGUUA
This 547-nucleotide ribosomal RNA is filed under the name uncultured bacterium. RNAcentral's name for it is "bacterial SSU rRNA". It matches the Rfam family "Bacterial small subunit ribosomal RNA", at positions 355 to 896 of the family's 1533-position model. The record is from RNAcentral.